RNAcentral lists this transfer RNA (90 nucleotides) under Alphaproteobacteria bacterium. RNAcentral describes it as "tRNA-Ser". It matches the Rfam family "tRNA". Rfam says of the family: Transfer RNA (tRNA) molecules are approximately 80 nucleotides in length. Their secondary structure includes four short double-helical elements and three loops (D, anti-codon, and T loops). Further hydrogen bonds mediate the characteristic L-shaped molecular structure. tRNAs have two regions of fundamental functional importance: the anti-codon, which is responsible for specific mRNA codon recognition, and the 3' end, to which the tRNAs corresponding amino acid is attached (by aminoacyl-tRNA synthetases). tRNAs cope with the degeneracy of the genetic code in two manners: having more than one tRNA (with a specific anti-codon) for a particular amino acid; and 'wobble' base-pairing, i.e. permitting non-standard base-pairing at the 3rd anti-codon position. Lineage: Bacteria; Pseudomonadati; Pseudomonadota; Alphaproteobacteria. The record is from RNAcentral. RNAcentral also lists the same sequence under 2 other names.
GGAGAGGUGGCUGAGUGGUCGAAAGCGCUCCCCUGCUAAGGGAGUAAGGAAGCAAUUCCUUCGAGGGUUCGAAUCCCUUCCUCUCCGCCA